RNAcentral lists this ribosomal RNA (379 nucleotides) under Scinax nebulosus (Spix's snouted treefrog). RNAcentral's name for it is "partial 16S ribosomal RNA". It matches the Rfam family "Bacterial large subunit ribosomal RNA", at positions 1913 to 2422 of the family's 2925-position model. The record is from RNAcentral. Lineage: Eukaryota; Metazoa; Chordata; Amphibia; Anura; Hylidae.
GUGACUCAUGUUCAACGGCCGCGGUAUCCUAACCGUGCGAAGGUAGCGUAAUCACUUGUUCUUUAAAUGGGGACUAGUAUGAAUGGCACCACGAGGGUUAUACUGUCUCCCUUUUCCAAUCAGUGAAACUAAUCUCCCUGUGAAGAAGCAGGGAUAAAAAUAUAAGACGAGAAGACCCUAUGGAGCUUUAAAUUUCAAUUCAAAUGCCCUCCAACCCUAAAAGUUUCCAACUUUACUCUCACAAACCCGGCAUAAUGAAGUAGAAUUUUAGGUUGGGGUGACCGCGGAGUACAAAACAACCUCCACAUUGAACUAGGCCUAUUACCUUGAGCAACGAACUACAAUCCUAUGCACAAAAAAAUUUACAUUCAUUGACCCA